This 253-nucleotide ribosomal RNA is filed under the name uncultured bacterium. RNAcentral's name for it is "partial 16S ribosomal RNA". It matches the Rfam family "Bacterial small subunit ribosomal RNA", at positions 524 to 776 of the family's 1533-position model. RNAcentral also lists the same sequence under 1 other name. The record is from RNAcentral.
UACGGAGGGUGCAAGCGUUAUCCGGAUUCACUGGGUUUAAAGGGUGCGUAGGUGGUCUGUUAAGUCAGCGGUGAAAGCCUGGAGCUCAACUCCAGAAUUGCCAUUGAUACUGACGGACUUGAAUCAAGUUGAGGUGGAUGGAAUAUUACAUGUAGCGGUGAAAUGCUUAGAUAUGUAAUAGAACACCAAUUGCGAAGGCAGUUCACUAAGCUUGUAUUGACACUGAGGCACGAAAGCGUGGGGAUCAAACAGG